Acanthopagrus latus (yellowfin seabream) is the source of this 610-nucleotide long non-coding RNA. RefSeq lists it as uncharacterized. The record is from RefSeq and is a predicted model, not a curated record. The transcript is spliced from 2 exons. NCBI's taxonomy places the organism in Eukaryota, Metazoa, Chordata, Actinopteri, Spariformes, Sparidae.
GUACAGAUUAAUCAGUCCUGAUAAGAGGAGGUGAACAAAAAAAAAAAGAGAGAGCGAGACAGGCGCGUGUGUGUGUGUCUGCUACGGAUUAGAUGGCAUACCUUGAGGUUGCCAUGGUGACUGGCAGGCAGCAGACACCUGUGAAUUAACAUUAGCACUGCAGCACCGGGAUCUUAAUUAAAGACGCAGGGAGAGAGCAGGACGGCCGCUCGAUGCAGUGCCUUACCCCGGCCCUUUAUCAGCACACCGCUUCCAUAAAAUCAAAGAGAAUUAGCUUUCAAACGAACAGGUGUCAUAUGGAGACACUGUGACCGAGGGACAAAGAGAUGAAUGAGAGAACGAAGACCUGGCCCCACCGCUAUAUCCCAGAUCACUCACAUUGCACGGCAGCCUCCACCAUCAGUGUAUGAACAUUUAUCAUGUGGUGAGCUGCCUGACAGCAGGACUACGGGGGGACGGACUCUGUGUUUAUGUCACUGAUGCUUGGUGCUCAUGUGCAGUCAAGACUAAUGGAAAGUGAGGAUGAGGAUGCCAUUCACCCUGAUGCAAAUUCCAAAUGUGCUCUCUCGUUUUAAUGUUUAAAUGUAAAUAAAUAACUGUAUAAACCGUC